CCUACGGUGAGCAGCAGUCGAGAAUCAUUCACAAUGGGGGAAACCCUGAUGGUGCGACGCCGCGUGGGGGAAUGAAGGUCUUCGGAUUGUAAACCCCUGUCAUGUGGGAGCAAAUUAAAAAGAUAGUACCACAAGAGGAAGAGACGGCUAACUCUGUGCCAGCAGCCGCGGUAAUACAGAGGUCUCAAGCGUUGUUCGGAAUCACUGGGCGUAAAGCGUGCGUAGGCUGUUUCGUAAGUCGUGUGUGAAAGGCGCGGGCUCAACCCGCGGACGGCACAUGAUACUGCGAGACUAGAGUAAUGGAAGGGGAACCGGAAUUCUCGGUGUAGCAGUGAAAUGCGUAGAUAUCGAGAGGAACACUCGUGACGAAGGCGGGUUCCUGGACAUUAACUGACGCUGAGGCACGAAGGCCAGGGGAGCGAAAGGGAUUAGAUACCCUAGUAGUC
This 446-nucleotide ribosomal RNA is filed under the name uncultured bacterium. RNAcentral's name for it is "partial 16S ribosomal RNA". It matches the Rfam family "Bacterial small subunit ribosomal RNA", at positions 338 to 795 of the family's 1533-position model. The record is from RNAcentral.